CCCCGCGGAGCGGCCUCCGAGCGCCGAGCGGCCCUCAGGGCGCGGGCUGCUGCCGCCCGGCCCCGCGCUGCCGGCCCCGGCCCUGCGCCGCGCUGCCCGCGCCUCCCAUCGCUGGAUGUGUCCCGCGCUCGGAUGUAAACCGCACUUAUAUACGUACACACUCCCCUUACAUUGACAUAUUGGAUAUUUAAAUGCAAGCCACACCUCACUGGCAUCCCCUUUGGCUAUGGGUUGUGGGUUUUUUUUUUCCUUCUUCUCGAUCCACUUGUGGUUGGCUUUUUUUUUUUUUUUUUUUUUUAAGCUUNGCGAGUCUGUCCGCAGCGAGUCCUCUGUCAGACAGCCUCCUCCGCAUCAGAGGGUUUCUCCCCUCACGGGUCUCCCGACAGCAAGUAGCUGACCUCAGGAAGCCUCGCCCCUCUGCGGGUCUCUUCCCCUCAGAGGGUCUCUCCCCUCAGUUUACGUCCUUUUGACCCCUCACGAGUGUCUCUCCUGUCUCUGUGGGUCUUUCCCUUCAGCGUUGAGUUCCCUUCAGGAGGACUCGCUCCUUUGUAAGUCUCUUCCCCUCAGCGGGGCUGUUCUCUCCACUCACGGGUUGCCCCUCAGCCAGCUUCCCUCUCCUCAGGGGUUGCUCUCCUCGGGACGAUUCAGCCCUCCGCAGGUCUCUUCUCCUCAGUGGGUCUGUUCCCUCACAAGUCACCCCUAUGGUGGGUCUCCCCUCAGCAGGCAGCUCCAUUCAUGAGGACUCACCCCUCUGUAGGUCUUCUUCCCAUCAGCAGUGUUCCCCUCAGCAGUCUGUCCCCUUACGGGUCUCACUUCAAGGGAUCUCUUCCCCCUCAGAGAGUCUCUCCUCUCAGGAGGUCUCGCCCCAAAGCUGCCGUUCCCCACAUCUGCCCCAGGGCAGUGGGAGAAAGGGCCAUGACAUACAGCCCCCUUUUCCCACAGGCCCGGGCAGUUCUCUGUUGUGAAGACCUGAAGGAAACUGUGAUAUUACCACAUGGAGUAUCCACACGUGCAUCUGCAGAGGGAGUGUUUUUUAGAUACUUCAGUCUACUCCUGGUCCUGUGAACUUCAUCCUGUGCCUGCAGUGCAGAUUUACAGUUGGAGCAGAGUUUUGCAUUCGUCUGUGAUCAGGUUGCUUUGGGUCUUCGGCGCAGUAGCUGAACAUCUCUGCCUUUCAAGAUAGUGACGCUUGUUCUCUCUCUGGAGAACUAAUACUGGAAUGUAUUAGUAUGUGAGGUGAGGCUGGGCAGUCUGUUCUGGGCACUAUUCUAGAAGCGGGUGAAUAGAUUUUUGAUGGGAGAGUCUAAAGUGAACAGAGAGACAGAAAAGGGAAAAAGGAAAUUAUUUUUUCCCUGAAUAUGCUAAUUGGUGACAGAUUUAGCUUUUGUGAUGACACUGAAGCUUUUCACACUUGUUGCUGAUGUUUCACAUAAGUAACAUUACUCUAGUUCAUUUUUAUAAUAGUGGGCUGUCUGUUUAUGAAGAGACAUGCAACACCCCUUAUAAGAUGUAAAUAGCCUGAUUUGCUAAUCAUCUUGUAAUUUCUCUUGAUGUGAAUGUUCUGUACUUUAAUAGCCUUAUUCUUUUCUCCAGUGAGUCAGUUAAUUAAAAUACAGCAUAAUGCUCCUGUUUCAAAAAAUCAAGUACUUUGCAGGUUUUGAAUAGAAGAAUGUUGCAUUGUAUGAGACUUGCAUAAUCCAUCAACCAGCUGCCCCACAAGUCAUGUUUUUUCAUCUCAAUAUUUCUGGGAAGAAAGAUAUAAACUGGUUAUGAAAACCAUGGUAAAGGCAUAUUUUUUAUGAGUUCUUCAAGUGGCCAAAGGAUAGGCAGAUGUUCAAGAGAGCACCAUCCUUCUGGACACUCUUUGAAAUGUGCAUUAACCUUCUUCCGGAUGAGAUGUGUUUCUUUUCAGCAGGGCUUCUUGAGUUUCAUGACAGGAGUUUCAUUGAAGUGUCAUGACGAAUGAGGAGUUAAUGAGGAGUUAAGGGAGUCCAGUUUGGAUAGCACUGAUCUUACACAACUGCAAUAUAUAGUAAUCACAGCUCAUGUAGAUUGAGUUUCAUGUUAGAUCUCAACACGUUUAUUUUACAGCAUCUUUUGCUAUGUUUGUAUAGCAUUGCUGCUGCCUUUCUCUAGAUGAGAACAUGUAGGAAUGCAAUAGGCAAGUGGUGUGCUCAAGGAAGUGAGAGUCUAUGAUUAGUGCAGGUAACUGGUGACUUACUAGCACUUACGUUAGCUUUGUCUUAGUCCAAGUAGUCACUUGGAUUGGCUUGCGUUCUUUUUGAGAGCUUCUAGGGCCGUAAGUAAGUCCUAAGAUUGUGUAGGGCCCCGAGCAGCAAGCACAGGGGACUCUGCAUGAGCAAUGCAGUUUCUGGGCAUGCACGGCCAGUCCAUCUGGAUUGCUGCAGCUUAUAUCCAACCAGUGCAGUGACCUGGCUGCGGAGCGUUUUUUGAUCUAGGGAUCCUGGAAGUGAAAUACACCUGCAACGUGUGUUAUUUUUGUGCUGAGAAAGGAUAAGCCUCACUUAUGGUUUCUUUCUCAAGUGAUAGUGAUAAGGUUUAUUUUUCUCAAGAAUGGGAGGCGAGGAAGGCACAAAGGCUUAGCCUGUAUCCUUCAUGACAAGAGGCUCUAACACGAGCCAAAAUCAAAGUCUUAUUUCAGUGCUGGGAGCUGGUGGUUCUGUUUCUGCAUGGUAUAGCUCUGUCUGAAGCAUAAUGAGCCUCACGUUUUGCUUGUGGAUGGGAAGCAGAAGUCAAGUUCACACCAAGAAAUAGUGUUGACUGUAGUGAGGACAGAAACAUAGAACUGGAUACAGGUAAGCCUAGAUCUCAGAAAUCUGGUUUCCUUCACCUCUGCUUUAAUAGCUUAGGAUAUUUAUGGCCUUGGCAAAGUUCAGAAAGACAGCUGAAGAGUAUCGUCUCAUGCACUAGUCUAAAAAUCUUGAGAUAUCCUGUAGCUGAGAUUUUCUAAAAGACUGG
Pavo cristatus (Indian peafowl) is the source of this 2979-nucleotide long non-coding RNA. Lineage: Eukaryota; Metazoa; Chordata; Aves; Galliformes; Phasianidae. The record is from Ensembl.